This 591-nucleotide ribosomal RNA is filed under the name uncultured bacterium. RNAcentral describes it as "bacterial SSU rRNA". It matches the Rfam family "Bacterial small subunit ribosomal RNA", at positions 334 to 916 of the family's 1533-position model. The record is from RNAcentral.
UACUCCUACGGGAGGCAGCAGUGGGGAAUAUUGGACAAUGGGCGCAAGCCUGAUCCAGCCAUACCGCGUGGGUGAAGAAGGCCUUCGGGUUGUAAAGCCCUUUUGUUGGGAAAGAAAUCCAGCCGGUUAAUACCCGGUUGGGAUGACGGUACCCAAAGAAUAAGCACCGGCUAACUUCGUGCCAGCAGCCGCGGUAAUACGAAGGGUGCAAGCGUUACUCGGAAUUACUGGGCGUAAAGCGUGCGUAGGUGGUCGUUUAAGUCCGUUGUGAAAGCCCUGGGCUCAACCUGGGAACUGCAGUGGAUACUGGACGACUAGAGUGUGGUAGAGGGUAGCGGGAUUCCUGGUGUAGCAGUGAAAUGCGUAGAGAUCAGGAGGAACAUCCAUGGCGAAGGCAGCUACCUGGACCAACACUGACACUGAGGCACGAAAGCGUGGGGAGCAAACAGGAUUAGAUACCCUGGUAGUCCACGCCCUAAACGAUGCGAACUGGAUGUUGGGUGCAAUUUGGCACGCAGUAUCGAAGCUAACGCGUUAAGUUCGCCGCCUGGGGAGUACGGUCGCAAGACUGAAACUCAAAGGAAUUGACGG